CCCUUAGAUGUUCUGGGCCGCACGCGUGCUACACUGAGUGGAUCAGCGGGUCAGGUUGCGCGAAAGCGUUUCCUAAUCUUUAAAUCCGCUCGUGAUGGGGAUUGACGGUUGCAAUUUUCUGUCAUGAACGAGGAAUACCUUGUAAGCGCGGGUCAACAUCCCGCGCUGAAUACGUCCCUGCCCUUUGUACACACCGCCCGUCGCUCCUACCGAUUGAGUGGUCCGGUGAGGCUUUGGGAUCUGAGCGGAAAGAGCGUUUCGCUGUUUCUGCUCGGAAAACUCAGUCGAACCUUAUCAUUUAGAGGAAGGAGAAGUCGUAACA
RNAcentral lists this ribosomal RNA (322 nucleotides) under uncultured eukaryote. Its description in RNAcentral is "partial 18S ribosomal RNA". It matches the Rfam family "Eukaryotic small subunit ribosomal RNA", at positions 1470 to 1796 of the family's 1831-position model. The record is from RNAcentral.